RNAcentral lists this ribosomal RNA (497 nucleotides) under uncultured bacterium. Its description in RNAcentral is "partial 16S ribosomal RNA". It matches the Rfam family "Bacterial small subunit ribosomal RNA", at positions 28 to 507 of the family's 1533-position model. The record is from RNAcentral.
GUUGAACGCUGGCGGCGUGCCUAAUACAUGCAAGUCGAGCGAACAGAUAAGGCGCUCGCUUCUUUUACGUUAGCGACGGACGGGUGAGUCCCACGUGGGUAACCUACAUAUAAGACUGGCAUACCUCCAGGAACCCUGGUCUAAUGCCGGAUAACAUUUAGAAACGCAUGGUUCUAAAGUGAACAAUGGAUUUGCUAUCCCUAAUAGAUGGACCCGCGCCGUAUUAGCUAGUUGGUAAGGUAACGGCUUACCAAGGCAACGAUACGUAGCCGACCUGAGAGGGUGAUCGGCCACACUGGAACUGAGACACGGUCCAGACUCCUACGGGAGGCAGCAGUAGGGAAUCUUCCGCAAUGGGCGAAAGCCUGACGGAGCAACGCCGCGUGAGUGAUGAAGGUCUUCGGAUCGUAAAACACUGUUAGUAGGGAGGAACAAAUGUGUAAGUAACUGUGCACGUCUUGACGGUACCAAAUCAGAAAGCCACGGCUAACUACGUG